AAUAUCUAUUCCCUUGACUAUUUUAUAUUUUAUGUCUUGACCAAAUCAUGUGCCAGCCGUCCCGGUAAUACAUGAAAGACUACUGUUAUUCCUCUUUAAUAGGUUUAACGGGUACCUAGACGGUCAAUCUAUCCUACAAAAGGGACCUAUUUACUACCAUUUCUAUUACACAAGGUGGAAUUUUUGGAUUAAACAUAUAUUUUGCUAAAUCCAAACAGACACACCCGGUGAAGACAACCUUCUCUCUAUUUACUGUCUUUUAGGGACGAAGGCUCGCCCACCGCUUAGGAUUAGAUCCCCUAGCAGUCCCCUCAUAAAAUUAUGAAUGUCAUUGACUUAUUUCCCUUCACCUUCCCGCCGACAGUGCCAAUAUUCCUCCUUGAGAGUAC
Molecule: ribosomal RNA, 389 nt
Filed under: Sclerococcum ahtii
Lineage: Eukaryota; Fungi; Ascomycota; Eurotiomycetes; Sclerococcales; Dactylosporaceae
Description: mitochondrial SSU rRNA
Rfam family: Bacterial small subunit ribosomal RNA
Source: RNAcentral